This 1397-nucleotide long non-coding RNA is filed under the name Cucumis sativus (cucumber). RNAcentral describes it as "long non-coding RNA (CSAT_LNC000395)". The record is from RNAcentral. Lineage: Eukaryota; Viridiplantae; Streptophyta; Magnoliopsida; Cucurbitales; Cucurbitaceae.
UUUACUAUUUGAUUUUUAACCUAAAGAAAGUAAUAAAAAUAUUGUUAGGGGAUUAUUUAAUUAAGUGCAUUCAUUACGACAAACAGCAAGUUGAUUUUUAUAUAUCUAUAUAUUGACCGCAAUUACCUUAAACAUGGGUAAUAUUAAACGAAUUAUUUAGUUGUGUUUGAAGACGUUCAUCAAACGUGAAUAAGUAGAAGAAAUAAUCUUCUCAAAUACGAUGAUCGAUCUAGCGUUUGUUAAGAGGAUUGUGAUGUUAAGUUGUAGUACUAGCUAGUUCUUAUGCAACUUAUGGUCACAUCUAAGCUGGAACUCAUAGAGAUACAUAAAUAGAUCGGGUUUGCAUAUGCUAGAGAAAGGGAGAUGAAGUCAUCAAGAAGAUUUGGACGAAGAAGAAAGCAACGUUGAAGAACAACAAAGAAGAACCGAAGGAGAGAGAGUCGACAACCGAGUACGUACCUUGGCGAAGAAGAUGAAUAGGUUUUGUCUUUUCGUACAAAAUUAAUGCAUAAAUCAUAUAACAAAAUAACAAUAAAACUAAUAAUACUUCAUAUAUAUUUAUCUAAAUCAUCACUCUCUUCCCUAAUUAACUUCAUCCUCUUUUUUCAAUCUAUAAUUACCCAUUUUUUAAUUAAUUAUAUAGCCUAAACUAUAUAAUUAACAACCUUUCUCCACCAAAAUUCAAAUUCUAUAUAUAUGUUUACUUAAUUGAAGUUUCACCCAAAUUCGAAAAUAAGUUUUAAUUCAAAUAAAAUAUUUAAACGAAUUAAGAAAAAUUAAAUUAGAACUUAUGUUAAAUGUUUAGAUAAACUUUUGUUUAUCUAAUUUUAUAUUUUUGAAUGUAAUUUUUAUUCUUGUUCAUCAAGUAUGAAUGCUAGUAGGACUUAGUUUUGUCCAAAAUAAAUAAAACAAAAUACUUCUCCUUCUUCUAAGUUUGACUUUAGUGAUAUGAAGAUAUUGAUGACAACCCCAUCACCAAUAACGUCUUACAUCCUUAGUUAUAGCAUCUAACAUCUCAACAUUAUUGUCCCUUAUAAUUUCUCAUUGACCAAUUGUUGCAAAUUGAUAAAGUUUUGUUAAGGGACCAAUUAAUAUAUAUAUAUAUGUCGAUAUAUGAUAUAGUUUAGUGAGUGUUUCGAGGCAAACAUUAGAACUAAAUUAGUGUCUGGUUUGAAACUUGAAGGACCAAAUAGAUGGACCAAAGUGCAUUUUGCCCUAAAACUUUACUUUGUAAAUGAGUAAUAUUUGUCAAACUAAUACUUUAAGUACUUUAUAUAUUAUUUGUUAGCACGGUAUAUUUACCUUAAUAAUAUUUUCUUUUAGGCAACACGUGUUAUUUUGUAUCUUUUCAGAGAAAAAAAAAGUCAAAGGAAUUCCACUCGAAGAGAGACUAGGUU